This 995-nucleotide ribosomal RNA is filed under the name Crutarndina petractoides. RNAcentral describes it as "eukaryotic LSU rRNA". It matches the Rfam family "Eukaryotic large subunit ribosomal RNA", at positions 109 to 1132 of the family's 3401-position model. Lineage: Eukaryota; Fungi; Ascomycota; Lecanoromycetes; Ostropales; Graphidaceae. The record is from RNAcentral.
UAAAACCCAGUUUCUGGCGAUUUGUCUGCUCGAGUUGUAAUUUGUAGAAGGUGCUUCGGAAAGAUCUGAGACUCAAGUUUCUUGGAAAGGAAUGUCAUAGAGGGUGAAAAUCCCGUUUUGUCUCUUGAUUGAUUCCAUGGAAACCCUUUCGACGAGUCGAGUUGUUUGGGAAUGCAGCUCAAAUUGGGUGGUAAAUUUCAUCUAAAGCUAAAUAUUCGUCAGAGACCGAUAGCGCACAAGUAGAGUGAUCGAAAGAUGAAAAGCACUUUGAAAAGAGAGUCAAACAGCACGUGAAAUUGUUGAAAGGGAAGCGCUUGCAACCAGACUUGUUCUACAGUAUUCAGCUGUCACUCGUGGCAGUGCACUUUCUGUUGUAUGGGCCAGCAUCGGUUUUUGUGGUUGGAUAAAGACUUAUGGAAAGUAGCUUUGAUCGUCAAAGUGUUAUAGCCAAAGUGUAAUGCGACCAACGAAGACCGAGGACCGCGCUUUAUGCAAGGAUGCUGGCGUAAUGGUUGCUAGCGACCCGUCUUGAAACACGGACCAAGGAGUGGUACAAUCCCGCGAGCAUUAGGGUGUAAAACUCUUAUGCGUAAUGAAAGUGAACGUAGGUGGGAAGCUUCUGGCUGCACCAUCGACCGAUCCGAGUUCGCAAGGAUUUGAGUACGAGUGUGAUUGUACCGACCCGAAAGAAGGUGAACUAUUCCUGACUAGGGUGAAGCCAGAGGAAACUCUGGUGGAGGCUCGCAGCGGUUCUGACGUGCAAAUCGAUCGUCAAAGCUGGGAAUAGGGGCGAAAGACUAAUCGAACCUUCUAGUAGCUGGUUCCUGUCGAAGUUUCCCUCAGGAUAGCAGCAACGAAUCAAACAGUCUCAUGAGGUAGAGCAACGAUUAGAGGCCUUGGGGUUGAAACAACCUUAACCUAUUCUCGAACUCCGAAUAUGUGAGAAGUCCUUGUUACUUUAUUGAACGUGGACAUUUGGAUUAUCGUGUAUGGCC